This 254-nucleotide ribosomal RNA is filed under the name uncultured bacterium. Its description in RNAcentral is "partial 16S ribosomal RNA". It matches the Rfam family "Bacterial small subunit ribosomal RNA", at positions 524 to 776 of the family's 1533-position model. The record is from RNAcentral.
UACGUAGGGUGCAAGCGUUGUUCGGAUUUACUGGGCGUAAAGGGCGCGUAGGCGGCCACCGCAAGUCGACUGUGAAAUCUCCGGGCUUAACCCGGAAAGGUCAGCCGAUACUGCGGGGCUAGAGUGCAGAAGGGGCAACUGGAAUUCUCGGUGUAGCGGUGAAAUGCGUAGAUAUCUGGAGGAAUACCGGUGGCGAAGGCGGCAUCCUGGACCGGCAUUGACGCUGAGGAGCGAAAGCUAGGGGAGCAAACGGG